CAUAGCGGCGAAUGGGUGAGUAACACGUACUCAACGUACCUUUUAGAUUGGGAUAGCGGAUGGAAACAUCCGAUAAUACCGAAUACUUAUUAUUUUUGCAUGAAAGUAAUAUAAAAGGAAGCGUUUGCUUCGCUAAAAGAUCGGAGUGCGCAACAUUAGCUAGUUGGUGAGGUAACGGCCCACCAAGGCGAUGAUGUUUAGCGGGGUUGAGAGAUUGAUCCGCCACACUGGGACUGAGAUACGGCCCAGACUCCUACGGGAGGCAGCAGUAGGGAAUAUUCCACAAUGGACGAAAGUCUGAUGGAGCGACACAGCGUGCAGGAUGAAGGCCCUA
RNAcentral lists this ribosomal RNA (334 nucleotides) under Mycoplasmopsis bovis. Its description in RNAcentral is "bacterial SSU rRNA". It matches the Rfam family "Bacterial small subunit ribosomal RNA", at positions 91 to 419 of the family's 1533-position model. Lineage: Bacteria; Bacillati; Mycoplasmatota; Mycoplasmoidales; Metamycoplasmataceae. The record is from RNAcentral.